UACGUAGGGGGCUAGCGUUGUCCGGAUUUAUUGGGCGUAAAGCGUCCGCAGGUGGUUAUGCAAGUCUGCUGUCAAAGCGCGAGGCUUAACUUCGUAAAGGCAGUGGAAACUGAACAGCUAGAGUAUGGUAGGGGCAGAGGGAAUUCCUGGUGUAGCGGUGAAAUGCGUAGAGAUCAGGAAGAACAUCGGUGGCGAAGGCGCUCUGCUGGACCAUAACUGACACUCAGGGACGAAAGCUAGGGGAGCGAAUGGG
RNAcentral lists this ribosomal RNA (253 nucleotides) under uncultured bacterium. RNAcentral describes it as "partial 16S ribosomal RNA". It matches the Rfam family "Bacterial small subunit ribosomal RNA", at positions 524 to 776 of the family's 1533-position model. The record is from RNAcentral.